Molecule: unclassified non-coding RNA, 338 nt
Filed under: soil metagenome
Description: partial contains 5.8S ribosomal RNA, internal transcribed spacer 2, and large subunit ribosomal RNA
Rfam family: 5.8S ribosomal RNA (bases 1-119)
Source: RNAcentral
GAUGAAGAACGCAGCGAAAUGCGAUACGUAGUGUGAAUUGCAGAAUUCAGUGAAUCAUCGAAUCUUUGAACGCACAUGCACCUCUCGGUAUUCCGGGAGGUAUGCCUGUUCGAGCGUCAUUUGUACCCUCAAGCUCUGCUUGGUGUUGGGUGUUUGUUCCGCCUCUGUGUGUGAACUCGCCUCAAAACAAUUGGCAGCCGGCGUACUUGUUUCGGAGCGCAGCACAUUUUGCGAUCCAGAUCAACGUACAGCGGCAUCCAAGAAGCCUUAUUUAACGCUCUUGACCUCGGAUCAGGUAGGGAUACCCGCUGAACUUAAGCAUAUCAAUAAGCGGAGGA